Molecule: ribosomal RNA, 252 nt
Filed under: uncultured bacterium
Lineage: Bacteria
Description: partial 16S ribosomal RNA
Rfam family: Bacterial small subunit ribosomal RNA
Source: RNAcentral
UACAGGGGGUGCAAACGUUGCUCGGAAUCAUUGGGCGUAAGCGCACGUAGGCGGUUCGUUAUGUCGGAUGUGAAAGCCCUUGGCUUAACCGAGGAAGUGCAUCCGAAACUGGCGAGCUAGAGUACUAAAGAGGAUCGCGGAAUUCCCGGUGUAGAGGUGAAAUUCGUAGAUAUCGGGAGGAGCACCGGUGGCGAAGGCGGCGAUCUGGGUAGAUACUGACGCUGAGGUGCGAAAGCGUGGGGAGCAAACAGG